This 422-nucleotide ribosomal RNA is filed under the name uncultured cyanobacterium. Its description in RNAcentral is "bacterial SSU rRNA". It matches the Rfam family "Bacterial small subunit ribosomal RNA", at positions 358 to 795 of the family's 1533-position model. The record is from RNAcentral. Lineage: Bacteria; Bacillati; Cyanobacteriota.
GGAAUUUUCCGCAAUGGGCGAAAGCCUGACGGAGUAACGCCGCGUGAGGGAUGAAGGCCUCUGGGCUGUAAACCUCUUUUAUCAAGGAAGAAGAUCUGACGGUACUUGAUGAAUAAGCCACGGCUAAUUCCGUGCCAGCAGCCGCGGUAAUACGGGAGUGGCAAGCGUUAUCCGGAAUUAUUGGGCGUAAAGCGUCCGCAGGCGGCCCUUCAAGUCUGCUGUUAAAAAGUGGAGCUUAACUCCAUCAUGGCAGUGGAAACUGUUGGGCUUGAGUGUGGUAGGGGCAGAGGGAAUUCCCAGUGUAGCGGUGAAAUGCGUAGAUAUCGGGAAGAACACCAGUGGCGAAGGCGCUCUGCUGGGCCAUCACUGACGCUCAUGGACGAAAGCCAGGGGAGCGAAAGGGAUUAGAUACCCCUGUAGUC